AUUGAACGCUGGCGGCAGGCCUAACACUUGCAAGUCGAACGAGUGGCGGACGGGUGAGUAAUGUCUGGGAAAAUGCCUGAUGGAGGGGGAUAACUACUGGAAACGGUAGCUAAUACCGCAUACCAUCAGAUGUGCCCAGAUGGGAUUAGCUUGUUGGUGGGGUAACGGCUCACCAAGGCGACGAUCCCUAGCUGGUCUGAGAGGAUGACCGGCCACUGUGGAACUUGGCCACGGUCCAGACUCCUACGGGAGGCAGCGGUGGGGAUGAUUGCCCAAUGAGCGAAAGCCUGAUGCAGCCAUGCGGCGUGUAUGAAGAGGGCCUUCGGGUUGUAAAGUACUUUCAGCGAGAAGGCGUUACCCGCAGAAGAAGCACCGGCUAACUCCGUGCCAGCAGCCGCGGUAAUUC
Molecule: ribosomal RNA, 406 nt
Filed under: uncultured bacterium
Lineage: Bacteria
Description: partial 16S ribosomal RNA
Rfam family: Bacterial small subunit ribosomal RNA
Source: RNAcentral